UGGGGAAUAUUGCACAAUGGAGGGAACUCUGAUGCAGCGACGCCGCGUGAGUGAUGAAGGAAUUCGUUUCGUAAAACUCUGUUCUAUGGGAAGAAAAGGACUGUACCAUAGGAGAAAGAUCCGGCUAAAUACGUGCCAGCAGCCGCGGUAAUACGUAUGGAGCGAGCGUUGUCCGGAAUUAUUGGGCGUAAAGGGUGCGCAGGCGGCUUUACAAGUUGGAUGUGAAAUAUUGUGGCUCAACCACAAACGUGCAUCCAAAACUGCAAAGCUUGAGUUAAGGAGAGGUAAGUGGAAUUCCUGGUGUAGCGGUGGAAUGCGUAGAUAUCAGGAGGAAUACCGGUGGCGAAGGCGACUUACUGGACUUAAACUGACGCUCAGGCACGAAAGCGUGGGGAGCAAACAGG
This 404-nucleotide ribosomal RNA is filed under the name Fusobacteriota bacterium. RNAcentral's name for it is "Fusobacteria bacterium partial 16S ribosomal RNA". It matches the Rfam family "Bacterial small subunit ribosomal RNA", at positions 355 to 776 of the family's 1533-position model. Lineage: Bacteria; Fusobacteriati; Fusobacteriota. The record is from RNAcentral.